RNAcentral lists this ribosomal RNA (532 nucleotides) under uncultured bacterium. Its description in RNAcentral is "partial 16S ribosomal RNA". It matches the Rfam family "Bacterial small subunit ribosomal RNA", at positions 355 to 879 of the family's 1533-position model. The record is from RNAcentral.
UGGGGAAUUUUGGACAAUGGGCGAAAGCCUGAUCCAGCAAUGCCGCGUGUGUGAAGAAGGCCUUCGGGUUGUAAAGCACUUUUGUCCGGAAAGAAAUCCUUGGCUCUAAUACAGUCGGGGGAUGACGGUACCGGAAGAAUAAGCACCGGCUAACUACGUGCCAGCAGCCGCGGUAAUACNUAGGGUGCAAGCGUUAAUCGGAAUUACUGGGCGUAAAGCGUGCGCAGGCGGUUUGCUAAGACCGAUGUGAAAUCCCCGGGCUCAACCUGGGAACUGCAUUGGUGACUGGCAGGCUAGAGUAUGGCAGAGGGGGGUAGAAUUCCACGUGUANCAGUGAAAUGCGUAGAGAUGUGGAGGAAUACCGAUGGCGAAGGCAGCCCCCUGGGCCAAUACUGACGCUCAUGCACGAAAAGCGUGGGGAGCAAACAGGAUUAGAUACCCUGGUAGUCCACGCCCUAAACGAUGUCAACUAGUUGUUGGGGAUUCAUUUCCUUAGUAACGUAGCUAACGCGUGAAGUUGACCGCCUGGGGA